RNAcentral lists this ribosomal RNA (396 nucleotides) under uncultured bacterium. RNAcentral describes it as "partial 16S ribosomal RNA". It matches the Rfam family "Bacterial small subunit ribosomal RNA", at positions 523 to 918 of the family's 1533-position model. The record is from RNAcentral.
AUACGUAGGGCGCGAGCGUUGUCCGGAAUUACUGGGUGUAAAGGGAGCGUAGGCGGGAGUGCAAGUCAGAUGUGAAAUACAUGGGCUCAACCCAUGGGCUGCAUUUGAAACUGCAUUUCUUGAGUGAAGUAGAGGUAAGCGGAAUUCCUGGUGUAGCGGUGAACUGCGUAGAUAUCAGGAGGAACACCGGUGGCGAAGGCGGCUUACUGGGCUUUUACUGACGCUGAGGCUCGAAAGCGUGGGGAGCAAACAGGAUUAGAUACCCUGGUAGUCCACGCUGUAAACGAUGAUUACUAGGUGUGGGGGGACUGACCCCUUCCGUGCCGCAGUUAACACAAUAAGUAAUCCACCUGGGGAGUACGGCCGCAAGGUUGAAACUCAAAUGAAUUGACGGGG